This is a long non-coding RNA of Gallus gallus (chicken), 3098 nucleotides long. Lineage: Eukaryota; Metazoa; Chordata; Aves; Galliformes; Phasianidae. The record is from Ensembl.
CUCUUCUGAAUCUAUUUAUUUUGAGAUUCAGCUGAAACCAGGAUGAGUUGACAGCAUGACAGAAAGAAGCACACAAGAGCUUAUAAGUAGAGUCCUGAAAAGAUGAUUUAAUUUCCAUUCUUUGGAAUGUUACAGCUAUUCAGAGAUAUUACAAAGUAAUCUCUGAUAAAUUGCCUAUGAUUGAAGCAAAUAGGAUUUCACUGAAAAAAGCCCUCUGGUCCCUACUGGGAUGAAAGUCUCUACAAAAGUUCUAAUAAAUGAUGAAGCACUUUUUCUUUUGUUAUCAUGUGUUCCUGAUUUCCUUAUAAAACAGGAACAGGUGGCAACAGAAUCUUCCAUCUCCAAGUAUUUCCCAUGACAUUAAAUCUUACUUAUGGAAUAAACAAGGAUUUCCAUUCUUCUUUAUCCUGGCUCAUCUUUUAAUGUCUUUUUAUGUCACCGAGUCCCAGUAAGACUUAAUUCCCCAAGUCUCGUUGAGCAAAAGGGAUUCUUCUUCUCAAGCACUUUUUCAUGGUCUUCCAAUUUGUCAGUGGUGUACCUGCCACAGCAGAUGUCCUCGCCUCUUCUCAGUAUAAGUUUUGGUUACAUUCAUCUUCUUUUCUAAUAACUGGAGAUAAAAGGGUGUUGAACUCUGCUGCAAGCUUCAGCACUUGUUGUAAAUUGGUUCAAUCUGAAACACAGUCCUUCCCAAUGGCAUUUAUUUUCAGAAGCGUUUACCCAUCUGUCCUCAAGACCAAACUACAAAUCUUGAAAUUGAAUCUUACUGAGGAUGAACCCUACAAAAGUUUUAAUUCCAUCAUGACAUUAGACACAAACAAGAAGUAAGAAAGAGGGAACAAAUAAAUUUUUGAAUUAGUGGAAUAGCUAUAAAUUCAUGUCUGCAGUACUUCAUCUUCUAUUGUUAAACCACAUAUAAAUCUCUUAGUAUGUGUAGUAUAAAAUAUUAAUCUUACGUUAAUAUGUCGUCUGUAUAAGAAACAAAAAAUCCAAACAAAACUGACAAGCAAAUCUUGUUAUUUAUGGCUUAUUCAUUUAUAGUGUCCCUCCUAAGAAUGAUGAUGGAGCACACGUAGAAGCCAGAAAGCCAUGAGAUGUCAGUUACUGGCCGUGCCUUGUAAGAACAACAGGACAAGAGAGAAACCUGAAAAUAAAACCAUCUGCCAAAAACCAUGUAGGGAGGAAACAUCCAAAAUGAAGCAUGUCUUUACAUGUUCUCUACUAUGCUAACAUAAUGACAAUAAAGCAUUACAGUGUUCGAAGCAGUGAGCAGGGAUUUCUAACGACAUCAAUCCCUCCACAAGAGUAGUCCCUCUGGCGUCAUAAAGAGCAUGGCUCACAGGAAUGAGAUCAGAACACAGGAAUAAAAGGACAAAGAAAACAAAAGAAGGACACAACUAUGAUCAAAAUAUUUAGUAAAUGUAAAUUGCUUUCGUGUUGUGGGCUGUUGCUUCAAGCAGAUCUGGAUAAUCACCCAGAAAAUAAUUUUGCUUGCAUAAUGACAAAGUUUAUUUUACUUUUAAAAAAGUCAUCAGUGUUCAUGAGAGGAGGGAGGAGUGCUGGUUUGAAUCAGGCAUGUUGCAAGCAGAUGUUAUGCAAGCUUCCCCAAACAGUCCUGCCAAUGCACUGCAAUCCUGAGUUAUGACAUUCACUGCAUCUGCAGUUUGGGUCCUUUUUUGGGCCACAGCUUCAUCUGUGGGUUUUCCCAAAAUGGGGAUGUUAUUCUUGUGAUGCACAUGAAAACUUUAAGGAGAUCGAAAUGCUAUUUUUCAUUUUCAGACCAGAAAGGAUUUGGUCACCAUAUCUGAAUUACAUGGCUGAUCAGUAGCAAGGACGGAAAUGGGUAAGCACAUUUAUCUAUCAUCACACGGUUGCAGUAGUAGCUCUUUUAGGAAACAUGCCUCUGGGUUCUUUCCCACAACGCAUUUGGUAAAGUACAGCUUCCUGCCAUUUCCUUCCAUUCCAACAAGUCGUUUCCCAAUACCAUUUUCCAAAUCUGUCAUGCAUUUUUCAUUAAAAUACUCCUUUACCCUCUAAGUGUUUGAAAUGGCUACAUAUUUCCAUAACCUCAAAACAAAUAAAUGAAUAAAUGAAGAAUAAAUAAUUGCACUGAGCAGAACUGUGCUUUAGAAAGACUGCAGGUUCUUAAACAGGAGACGAAGUGCUGUUGCUAUUACAGAUUAAAAGCUGUAAGCAGAGAAUGUCAGAUAAUCAAAAGAUGAUCAUUUCUACUUCUGAAGACACCAUACUUAGGAGUACCUCAGAAAAAUGAAAACUUGUCUCUGUAUGCAGAGAUAUUUAUUUUCUUGGAAAUCUAAAUGGCCCAUUUUCCUAUUAUACAUCCUAAUGGAACUAUCGUACGUUUUACAUUUUUAAGUAUAUACUCCACUGUGUGCUUUCAGACUUUAAUCUUGAAAGGAAGUAUGUGGGAGUACGGACGUAAACCAGAAUAACAGUUUUUACAUUUAUUGUUCUCUGUUUAAACAUCAUUGCAAUUUCCACCUUUAAGCACUAAGAAUACUGAUAAAGCCUGUAUGAGCCUAGCAGCCCCAGCCAUGCAAUCAGAAACUGUAUUUCUUUUUGUCAAAGCAGCAGUGCCAAACAAGUCAGACUCACAAACGGAGGCUGUGACUUCAUCACCUACAGCUCUGUGCUGCUAUUAUUGACGGCAGCACCUACAGCUCUAUGCGUCUAUUGCUGAAUUUGCCUUAUAGAGUUCUGGGUUUGGGGGCUUACGUACAUGCGAAUCUUUGGCCCUCUGUAACGUGACUGUUGGAUCUGUGGUAAGAGAGAGAGACAAGAGAGUAAUCGGCUUUCCAAGUGCUGAGCAAUGGACAUCGGACGCGAGCUGAGGCAGCUGGGCAGAGCUGUGAGCGCGCUGUGGGAGAGCCGCACGGCGGGCAGUGCCAGGGCGCAUCGCUGACAGCCCGCCCGUCAGGAUUCCUUCACAGCCAAACUCAGCAGGCUGUGAAAUACGUUCUCCACGCAAAGGGGUGCAUUCCCUAACCCCCGUCCGUGUAAGCCGUGUCGCUGACCGACACGAAGUCCCGUGGCUGAGCAGAGCUCCGGGGGCACUCUCUGGGGCUGUCGCCGCUGCCCCC